GUCAGGCUGCAACUCGCCUGCAUGAAGUCGGAAUUGCUAGUAAUCGCAGAUCAGCAUGCUGCGGUGAAUACGUUCCCGGGCCUUGUACACACCGCCCGUCACACCAUGGGAGUCGGUAACACCCGAAGUCGGUAGCCUAACCGUAAGGAGGGCGCCGCCGAAGGUGGGAUUGAUGACUGGGGUGAAGUCGUAACAAGGUAAC
This 202-nucleotide ribosomal RNA is filed under the name uncultured bacterium. Its description in RNAcentral is "partial 16S ribosomal RNA". It matches the Rfam family "Bacterial small subunit ribosomal RNA", at positions 1300 to 1500 of the family's 1533-position model. The record is from RNAcentral.